AGCGUAGACGGCAAGGCAAGUCUGAUGUGAAAACCCAGGGCUUAACCCUGGGACUGCAUUGGAAACUGUCUGGCUCGAGUGCCGGAGAGGUAAGCGGAAUUCCUAGUGUAGUGGUGAAAUGCGUAGAUAUUAGGAAGAACACCAGUGGCGAAGGCGGCUUACUGGACGGUAACUGACGUUGAGGCUCGAAAGCGUGGGGAAGCAAACA
This 208-nucleotide ribosomal RNA is filed under the name uncultured bacterium. Its description in RNAcentral is "partial 16S ribosomal RNA". It matches the Rfam family "Bacterial small subunit ribosomal RNA", at positions 568 to 774 of the family's 1533-position model. The record is from RNAcentral.